Molecule: ribosomal RNA, 394 nt
Filed under: uncultured bacterium
Lineage: Bacteria
Description: partial 16S ribosomal RNA
Rfam family: Bacterial small subunit ribosomal RNA
Source: RNAcentral
AUACGUAGGGCGCGAGCGUUGUCCGGAAUUACUGGGCGUAAAGGGCGCGUAGGCGGCGCUUCAAGUCGUCUGUCAAAUGGGAGGGCUUAACCCUUUUUCGCAGACGAAACUGGAGAGCUUGAGAAGCAGAGAGGCAAACAGAAUUCCUGGUGUAGCGGUGAAAUGCGUAGAUAUCAGGAAGAAUACCAGUGGCGAAGGCGGUUUGCUGGCUGCACACUGACGCUGAAGCGCGAAAGCCAGGGGAGCAAACGGGAUUAGAUACCCCGGUAGUCCUGGCAGUAAACGAUGUAUGCUGGGUGUGAGACUAGCGAUAGUUUCGUGCCGAAGUUAACGCGAUAAGCAUACCGCCUGGGGAGUACGGUCGCAAGAUUGAAACUCAAAGGAAUUGACGGGG